RNAcentral lists this ribosomal RNA (1060 nucleotides) under Pseudomonas fluorescens. Its description in RNAcentral is "bacterial SSU rRNA". The stretch from base 1 to 752 matches the Rfam family "Bacterial small subunit ribosomal RNA", at positions 786 to 1533 of the family's 1533-position model. Lineage: Bacteria; Pseudomonadati; Pseudomonadota; Gammaproteobacteria; Pseudomonadales; Pseudomonadaceae. The record is from RNAcentral.
CCUGGUAGUCCACGCCGUAAACGAUGUCAACUAGCCGUUGGGAGUCUUGAACUCUUAGUGGCGCAGCUAACGCAUUAAGUUGACCGCCUGGGGAGUACGGCCGCAAGGUUAAAACUCAAAUGAAUUGACGGGGGCCCGCACAAGCGGUGGAGCAUGUGGUUUAAUUCGAAGCAACGCGAAGAACCUUACCAGGCCUUGACAUCCAAUGAACUUUCUAGAGAUAGAUUGGUGCCUUCGGGAACAUUGAGACAGGUGCUGCAUGGCUGUCGUCAGCUCGUGUCGUGAGAUGUUGGGUUAAGUCCCGUAACGAGCGCAACCCUUGUCCUUAGUUACCAGCACGUAAUGGUGGGCACUCUAAGGAGACUGCCGGUGACAAACCGGAGGAAGGUGGGGAUGACGUCACAGUCAUCAUGGCCCUUACGGCCUGGGCUACACACGUGCUACAAUGGUCGGUACAAAGGGUUGCCAAGCCGCGAGGUGGAGCUAAUCCCAUAAAACCGAUCGUAGUCCGGAUCGCAGUCUGCAACUCGACUGCGUGAAGUCGGAAUCGCUAGUAAUCGUGAAUCAGAAUGUCACGGUGAAUACGUUCCCGGGCCUUGUACACACCGGCCCGUCACACCAUUGGGAGUGGGUUGCACCAGAAGUAGCUAGUCUAACCCUCGGGAGGACGGUUGACCACGGUGUGAUUCAUGACUGGGGUGAAGUCGUAACAAGGUAGCCGUAGGGGAACCUGCGGCUGGAUCACCUCCUUAAUCGACGACAUCAGUUGCUCCAUAAGUUCCCACACGAAUUGCUUGAUUCAUUGUAGAAGACUGGUAGAAGCCAGUUAAGUAUUUGGCUUCUCUAUCGUAAAGCUUAGAAAUGAACAUUUCAUUGAAAAAUGGUGAAUGUUGAUUUCUGAUCUUUUGAUUAGAUCGUUCUUUAAAAAUUUGGGUAUGUAAUAGAAAGUUAGACUGGAUAGCACUUUCACUGGUGUUUAUUCAGGCUAAGGUAAAAUUUGUGAGUUCGCUCUUAAUUGAGCAUGCGAAUUUUCGGCGAAUGUCGUCUUCAUAGUAUAACC